UCUCGGCCUUUUGGCUAAGA
Molecule: non-coding RNA, 20 nt
Filed under: Mus musculus (house mouse)
Lineage: Eukaryota; Metazoa; Chordata; Mammalia; Rodentia; Muridae
Also listed under: 1 other name
Source: RNAcentral